Molecule: long non-coding RNA, 275 nt
Filed under: Mytilus galloprovincialis (Mediterranean mussel)
Lineage: Eukaryota; Metazoa; Mollusca; Bivalvia; Mytilida; Mytilidae
Source: RNAcentral
AAUAUUUUAUAAAAUUUAUUAUAAAUACUGACAUUUGUGAAGCAUAUGAUAAGGUUAGUGAUUCAAUAACAAUUUUGUACCUGACAAGUACAUAUGCACCAAAAACUAGAGGCCCUAGAAAGGAUUAAUAUGUUAUGGUUUAGAUUAUGUUCUUAUAAUCUAAAGUAGAAUAUCUUUUUGUAUUCAACAAAUAUUCUUGACAACAAAAAAGGAAAAAUAAUAAAAGGUUUAUCAGAAAGACAUUUUAAUGAAUUUUGACUAAAGUUAGACAUUGG